This is a transfer RNA of 91 nucleotides. It matches the Rfam family "tRNA". Rfam says of the family: Transfer RNA (tRNA) molecules are approximately 80 nucleotides in length. Their secondary structure includes four short double-helical elements and three loops (D, anti-codon, and T loops).
GGUACUAUAGCCAAGUGGUUAAGGCGACAGAUUAGAAUCUAGGUUCAUCUGUUACUCUCUGAGUGCGCAGGUUCAAAUCCUGCUGGUGUCG